UGCAAGUCGAACGAGCCUUUUAGGUGAGUGGCGCACGGGUGCGUAACACGUGGGAAUAUACACAUCGGUAAGGAACAACACAGAGAAAUUUGUGCUAAUACCUUAUAAUGACUCCGGUCCAAAGAUUUAUCGCCGAUGGAUUAGCCCGCGCUAGAUUAGUUUGUUGGUGAGGUAAAAGCUCACCAAGACUACGAUCUAUAGCUGGUCUUAGAGGAUGAUCAGCCACACUGGUACUGAGACACGGACCAGACUCCUACGGGAGGCAGCAGUGAGGAAUAUUGCGCAAUGGGGGAAACCCUGACGCAGCCAUGCCGCGUGAAUGACGAAGGCCCUAGGGUUGUAAAAUUCUUUCAGAUGCGAAGAUAAUGACGGUAACAUCAGAAGAAGCUCCGGCUAAAUUCGUGCCAGCAGCCGCGGUAAUACGAAUGGAGCGAGCGUUGUUCGGAAUCAUUGGGCGUAAAGCGUAUGUAGGCGGACAUGAAAGUCAGAAGUGAAAUCCCAGGGCUUAACCCUGGAACUGCUUUUGAAACUCCAUGUCUUGAAUCCCGGAGGGGUGAGGGGAAUUCCGAGUGUAGAGGUGAAAUUCGCAGAUAUUCGGAGGAACACCAGAGGCGUAGGCGCCUCACUGGACGGGUAUUGACGCUGAGAUACGAAAGCGUGGGGAGCAAACAGGAUUAGAUACCCUGGUAGUCCACGCCGUAAACGAUGUGUGCUAGUUGUCGGGCUCUAAGAGUUCGGUGACGCCGCUAACGCAUUAAGCACACCGCCUGGGGAGUACGGCCGCAAGGUUAAAACUCAAAGGAAUUGACGGGGACCCGCACAAGCGGUGGAGCAUGUUCUUUAAUUCGAAGCCACGCGAAGAACCUUACCUACACUUGACAUACUCGUCGGGGAUUUC
Molecule: ribosomal RNA, 898 nt
Filed under: uncultured marine bacterium
Lineage: Bacteria
Description: bacterial SSU rRNA
Rfam family: Bacterial small subunit ribosomal RNA
Source: RNAcentral